RNAcentral lists this long non-coding RNA (768 nucleotides) under Coturnix japonica (Japanese quail). RNAcentral's name for it is "lncRNA (ENSCJPG00005021047.1)". Lineage: Eukaryota; Metazoa; Chordata; Aves; Galliformes; Phasianidae. The record is from RNAcentral.
UCUUAAAGGAAGAUAGUGCAGGAGAUUGCAGUUCUGGGCACCUGCUUUCUGGCCUUGGCAGAACACGAUGCACUUUGAAUGGGGGAGAAUCUUUCCUUGGGCAGAUGAUAGCGUGUGCUGCUGACUGAGCCAGCUAUGGCAGUUGAGUGCAGAGCUGUAGCUUGAGGAAAUGCAUGUGCUCCAUGGGGAAUGUGCCUCUCAAGCCAGGACAAUGGGGGAAGAGAUCAUGGGGUGUAAGUCUGAAGAGACAUCAGUGCUAUGGACAGCCUAAUGGCUGACUACUGUAUAACCAGAUGCAUGGCCACUCCAUAACAGCCCAUAAGCCCUGCCCACGUACCCAGCGGUUCACUCUGAGCUCUGUUCAUGCAGUCUUUAAGUCGUGAUACCCUGUCUCUUCUUUUGCCUUCAUCAGAAAGCUCAACUACAACUACUGUGGAAUCAUCUACCAUAUCUGGAUCACCAGCAACAGAAACCACACCUACAAGUCCUGGAGACAGUUCUACCAACUCUACAACACCAUCAACAGACGAAACCACACCUACAAGUCCUGGGAACAGUUCUGCCAUCUCUACAACACCAUCAACAGACGGAAAUACAACUGCGUCAACUGGGAAUGCUACUAUGGUCCCUUCUUCACCAGUAACACAAGGAAACACGUCUACAACACCUCUGGAAACUUCUACCACUUCUGCACCUCCAACACUUGGUAAGGAUGUUGAGAUGCGUGUGCUGGUGACUGGGUCCAGUUUGUUCCACAAGUGCAGCUGA